GAUGGGUGGUACUACCGCUUGCUGUACUAAAGGCACCAGAGAGUCAAGUAAACUCAGUGAAAAGGAACAAGUGACUUCAAUGAGUCUUUGGAUCCAGCUUGCUUUUAUGUAAUAAAAUUGAAAGGUACAGUUGAUUUUCAGAAAGGUGAUUAACUCUAAUCAGGUAGAUAAGCAAUCCUAUUAAACCAACAAACUAUGGCAUGUCCCCGAGUGCACUAUGAAUCAACACGUAUAAGUAUAUAAUUUAAAAGUUCUUAAUUAUUACUUUUUAAAUAUCUGGUCUAUUUAGGAUCUAAAAUGUGUAUGGUGAUAAAUGACUAGCUAGUCAUGUGCCCAUAAAAUGCAUUAAUGUCCCUGAGAAUGAUAAAUCUUCUUUAAAUGAAUAGAGGCUGACAAUCAAGGAUCAUGUGUUCUCCAGACCUUCUGAUAAAUGUUCUUUCUAUUAUUUCCAAUAGACUUUGAUACAUUAAACUGCAUAAUUUAUUUCUGGUAAUUUAUCUUUGUUCUCUUGGGUAUCAGCUCCUCUCUUUCCAUAUUUUCUUCCAACAGAAACACCGGGUAGUUAUAUCAACAUCAGGAACAAUAAGAACAAUAAAAAUCAAAUGGAAGGUACCAGAUAUCACUGUUGCUCUCUCAACUCUGAUGCCAAAGCCCAAGGAAGUGGAAAUGGAAGACGAGCCCAUUUGUAGCGUGGGGAAUCUCUAGCUGGCUCCUCCUCAGGUGAGUGUCAGCAGGUCAGUCUCUCAGCCAAGAGGAGGGGAAAGAGGAGAAGCACAUCUGGUCUGCUCUG
Anser brachyrhynchus (Pink-footed goose) is the source of this 790-nucleotide long non-coding RNA. The record is from Ensembl. Lineage: Eukaryota; Metazoa; Chordata; Aves; Anseriformes; Anatidae.